Alligator sinensis (Chinese alligator) is the source of this 519-nucleotide long non-coding RNA. RefSeq lists it as uncharacterized. The transcript has 3 exons. NCBI's taxonomy places the organism in Eukaryota, Metazoa, Chordata, Crocodylia, Alligatoridae. The record is from RefSeq and is a predicted model, not a curated record.
GGGGCGGCCACCGCGGGGAAGGCGGAGAUGAGCCCCGAUGCCUGCUGGGCAGGGGUGCCUGGUGGGGUGCAACAGAGAGAAGGAAGGAAAGCCCUCGGCCCUUCAGGGCUCGCUCACGGUCAGUCAAAGAGAGGCAGAGGUCAUCUACUCCACACCCGUGUCUCAGGCAGUAGCAUCCCAAGCAGGUAUAACGGCCGGGGUGAGGAAUGUGGCACACUUUCACCCAUGAUGAGGCGCAAGAGAGUUACAGAGGACACCCACAUCCCUGCAGAUGCCACAUGCAAAGCCAGCCAUCUGGAUGACAAGAGCCUGAAACGGAGAGCUUCCUCUCUGUUCCUGAAAAUGGGAGUGUCUCAUCAGACUCCGUGAGACCACUUGUCCUCACUUCUAAAUCCCCAUUUCUCCAGGACCCAAGUAGGUGACAGACAUUUGUGGCUCUGUUCACAGCACCUCUGAAAGGAACUUGGUAGCUCAAGUGAAAUAGCAGAUUUGCAAAAAAUGGAAAAUGAAAAUGUUGAG